CCCCUCCCCCCCUUCCCCAAGUGCCGUUUCGGUUUAACCUAGUGUGUGACUGAGUCUGUGUGAGGGAGCGAAUGAGUGUGUGAGGUAUUGAGGUGAGGCGGAGGCAAGAAAAGGGUCUCCCUCAGGAGCGAGGGACAAAGGGGGCGUGAGGCACCUAGGCCGCGGGACCCCAGCGACAGGAAGCCGCCCCGAGACGGGCUACCGGGUAGGGGAAGGGCCCGCGCAGUCUUCACAGGGCCCCAGAGCCGGAGUCGGCCCCACAGCCCCCGGGCCGUCGGCUUCCUACUUCCUCGACCUCCCCGGCGUCCGGGCCUGAGGACUGGCUCGGCGAGGGGAGGACGGGAAACAGACUUGGGCAGCUACCCGUUGUCUCGCAACUCCACCGCUGAGGAACUCUCAUUUCUUUCCUGGCUCCUUCACCCCCACCUCAUGUAGGAGGGUGCUGAGGAGUCGGGAGGGAGGAGGAGCCUGGGCUACAGUCCCUUCCCUCCCCACCCCCUUCUAGGGGCGCUUUGGUAGGCGUGGGGUUGGGGGGUGGGUGGGGGUUACUUUUCGGAGUGCUGGGGAACUUUUUCCCCGUUUUGAGGGUAGGGGAAAGGGAAUGCCCAAUCCAGAGAGACAUGGGGGCAAGAAGGACGGGAGUGGAGGAGCUUCUGGAACUUUGCAGCCGUCAUCGGGAGGUGGCAGCUCCAACAGCAGAGAGCGUCACCGCUUGGUGUCGAAGCACAAGCGGCAUAAAUCCAAGCACUCCAAAGACAUGGGGUUGGUGACCCCCGAAGCAGCACCUUUAGGUACAAUUAUCAAACCUUUGGUGGAGUAUGAUGACAUCAGUUCUGAUUCAGAUACCUUCUCUGACGAUAUGGCCUUCAAACUAGACAGGAGGGAGAAUGAUGAGCGUCGUGGAACUGAUCGGAGUGACCGCCUGCACAAACAUCGUCACCACCAGCACAGACGUUCCCGGGACUUACUAAAAACUAAACAGACAGAAAAAGAAAAAAACCAGGAAGUCUCCAGCAAAUCGGGAUCUAUGAAGGACCGGAUAUCAGGAAGUUCAAAGCGUUCAAAUGAGGAGAAUGAGGACUAUGGGAAGGCACAGAUAUCCAAAAGCAGCAGCAACAAGGAAUCCAGGUCAUCCAAACUACAUAAGGAGAAGACCCGGAAAGAACGUGAGUUGAAGUCUGGGCACAAAGACCGGAGUAAAAGUCAUCGGAAAAGGGAAACACCCAAAAGCUACAAGACGGUGGACAGCCCCAAACGGAGAUCCAGGAGUCCCCAUAGGAAAUGGUCUGACAGCCCCAAGCAAGAUGAUAGCCCCUCAGGAGCUUCUUAUGGCCAAGAUUAUGACCUUAGUCCUCCAAGAUCUCACACCUCUAGCAAUUAUGACUCCUACAAGAAGAGUCCUGGAAGUACCUCAAGAAGGCAGUCAAUUAGUCCUCCCUACAAGGAGCCCUCGGCCUACCAGUCCAGCACCCGAUCACCCAGUCCUUACAGUAGACGACAAAGGUCUGUGAGUCCCUAUGGCCGGAGACGUUCUUCCAGCUAUGAAAGGAGUGGCUCUUACAGUGGGAGAUCACCCAGUCCCUAUGGUCGAAGACGGUCCAGCAGCCCUUUCAUGAGCAAACGGUCUCUGAGUCGGAGUCCACUCCCCAGUAGGAAAUCCAUGAAGUCUAGAAGUAGAAGUCCCGCAUAUUCAAGACACUCAUCUUCUCAUAGUAAAAAGAAGAGAUCGGGGUCACGCAGUCGACAUUCCAGCAUCUCACCUGUCAGGCUUCCAUUGAACUCCAGCUUGGGAGCUGAACUCAGUAGGAAAAAGAAGGAAAGAGCAGCAGCUGCUGCUGCAGCAAAAAUGGAUGGAAAGGAGUCCAAGGGUUCACCUGUGUUUUUGCCUAGAAAAGAGAACAGUUUAGUAGAGGCUAAGGAUUCAGGCUUGGAGUCUAAAAAGUUACCCAGAGGUGUAAAAUUGGAAAAAUCUGCCCCAGAUACUGAACUGGUGAAUGUACCACAUCUCAAUACAGAAGUCAAAAAUUCUUUAGAUACAGGGAAAGUAAAGUUGGAUGAGAACUCUGAGAAGCAUCCUAUUCUUAAAGAUUUGAAAGCACAGGGAUCAAGAGACUCUAAACCCGUAGCAUUGAAAGAGGAGAUUGUUACUCCAAAAGAGACAGAGGUAUCAGAAAAGGAGACCCAUCCGCCUCUCCCCACAGUUACUUCUCCUCCACCUCCUUUACCAACUACUACCCCUCCACCUCAAACACCCCCUUUGCCACCUUUGCCUCCACUACCAGCUAUUCCACAGCAACCACCUCUGCCUCCUCCCCAACCAGCAUUUAGUCAGGUUCUUGCUUCUAGUACUUCAACUCUGCCCCCUUCUACUCACCCAAGGACAUCUACUCUGUCCUCUCAGGCAAAUUCUCAGCCCCCUGUACAGGUGUCUGUGAAGACUCAAGUAUCUGUAACAGCUGCUAUUCCACACUUAAAAACUUCAACGUUGCCUCCUCUGCCCCUCCCACCCUUAUUACCUGGAGACGAUGACAUGGAUAGUCCAAAAGAGACUCCACCUUCAAAACCUGUAAAGAAAGAGAAGGAACAAAGGCCACGUCACUUACUCACGGACCUCCCUCUCCCUCCAGAGCUUCCUGGUGGGGAUCCAUCUCCUCCAGACUCGCCAGAACCAAAGGCAGUUACACCACCUCAGCAACCAUAUAAAAAGAGACCAAAAAUUUGUUGUCCUCGUUAUGGAGAAAGAAGACAAACAGAAAGUGACUGGGGAAAACGCUGUGUGGACAAGUUUGACAUUAUUGGGAUUAUUGGAGAGGGAACCUAUGGCCAAGUAUAUAAAGCCAAGGACAAAGACACAGGAGAGCUGGUAGCCCUAAAGAAGGUGAGACUGGAUAAUGAAAAGGAGGGCUUCCCGAUCACAGCCAUUCGUGAGAUCAAAAUCCUUCGUCAGCUAAUCCACCGAAGUGUUGUUAACAUGAAGGAAAUUGUUACAGAUAAACAAGAUGCACUGGAUUUCAAGAAGGACAAAGGUGCCUUUUACCUUGUAUUUGAGUAUAUGGACCAUGACUUAAUGGGACUGCUAGAAUCUGGUUUGGUGCACUUUUCUGAGGACCAUAUCAAGUCAUUCAUGAAACAGCUAAUGGAAGGAUUGGAUUACUGUCACAAAAAGAAUUUCCUGCAUCGGGAUAUUAAGUGUUCUAACAUUUUGCUGAACAACAGUGGACAAAUCAAACUAGCAGAUUUUGGACUUGCUCGACUCUAUAACUCUGAAGAGAGUCGCCCUUAUACAAACAAAGUCAUCACCCUGUGGUAUCGACCUCCAGAACUUCUGCUGGGAGAGGAGCGUUACACACCAGCUAUUGAUGUUUGGAGCUGUGGAUGCAUCCUUGGGGAACUGUUCACAAAGAAGCCUAUUUUUCAAGCCAAUCUGGAACUGGCUCAGCUAGAACUGAUCAGUCGACUCUGUGGUAGCCCUUGUCCAGCUGUGUGGCCUGAUGUUAUCAAGCUGCCCUACUUCAAUACCAUGAAACCGAAGAAGCAAUAUAGAAGGCGUCUGCGAGAAGAAUUCUCUUUCAUUCCUUCGGCAGCACUUGAUUUACUGGACCACAUGCUGACACUAGAUCCUAGCAAACGUUGCACAGCUGAACAGACUCUACAGAGUGACUUCCUUAAAGAUGUUGAGCUCAGCAAAAUGGAUCCUCCAGACCUCCCCCACUGGCAGGAUUGCCAUGAAUUGUGGAGUAAGAAACGGCGACGACAGAGACAAAGUGGUGUUGUGAUAGAAGAGCCACCUCCAUCCAAAGCCUCACGGAAAGAAACUACCUCAGGGACAAGUGCUGAGCCCGUGAAGAACAGCAGUCCAGCACCACCUCAGCCUGCUCCUGGCAAGGUGGAACCUGGGACUGGGGAUGCAGUAGGCCUCGGUGACAUCACACAGCAGUUGAAUCAAAGUGAAUUGGCAGUGUUACUGAAUCUGCUGCAGAGCCAAACCGACCUAAGCAUCCCUCAAAUGGCACAGCUGCUUAACAUCCACUCCAACCCAGAGAUGCAGCAGCAGCUGGAGGCCCUGAACCAGUCCAUCAGUGCCCUAACGGAAGCCACUUCCCAGCAGCAGGACUCAGAGCCCAUGGCCCCAGAGGAGUCUUUGAAGGAGGCACCUCCUGCCCUAGUGGUCCAGCCUUCAGCAGAACAGACAACCUCUGAGGCUUCAAGCACACCAGCUGACAUGCAGAAUAUGUUGGCAGUUCUUUUGAGUCAGCUGAUGAAAACCCAGGAGCCAGCAGGCAGCCUGGAGGAAAACAACAGUGACAAGAACAGUGGGCCACAGGGGCCCCGAAGAACUCCCACAAUGCCACAGGAGGAGGCAGCAGCAUGUCCUCCUCACAUUCUUCCACCAGAGAAGAGGCCCCCUGAGCCCCCCGGACCUCCACCGCCGCCACCUCCACCCCCUCUGGUUGAAGGCGAUCUUUCCAGCGCCCCCCAGGAGUUGAACCCAGCCGUGACAGCCGCCUUGCUGCAACUUUUAUCCCAGCCUGAAGCAGAGCCUCCUGGCCACCUGCCACAUGAGCACCAGGCCUUGAGACCAAUGGAGUACUCCACCCGACCCCAUCCCAACAGGACUUACGGAAACACUGAUGGGCCUGAAACAGGGUUCAGUGCCACUGACACUGAUGAACGCAACUCUGGUCCAGCUUUGACAGAAUCCUUGACCCAGACCCUGGUGAAGAACAGGACCUUCUCAGGCUCUGUGAGCCACCUUGGGGAGUCCAGCAGUUACCAGGGCACAGGGUGGCAGCAGCAGGAAGAAUGGCCCUUGAGUUUGGUGAAGUCCAUCAGUCACCUAGCAUCUGGCGCCCUGACACAUUCAGUCUCUUUCAUAGACUCUAAGCCAGGUUUGAUGGGAGCUCCCACCUGUCUAGACAUUGUGCAAAGCACCAGAAGUAGAGACCUACAAGCCUGCUUCUCUCCAUCUUCAUUGCCCAGAACCAGGCAGGUCAUCAGCUUCUAGUGCCCACCCCCCACUCUUCUUGCUGCCAGACAGGGAUCAGAAAUACCCUGAGAGAGAGCCUGAGAGCCAGGCCCCAAGAAGCCAGAAGAAUAAUUAGUAUCACUUGCUCUUCCUUAAAAAUGGACUCAGACCCUGAACACUCCACCCUAGUGGCCUGACAUCUCGGUUGGAGAAGAACAGGGAUAUGCCAAGGAUGGAGACCUCAGACUCUCCCAACUCUGAACAUCACACCCUGUCCUAAGGGCCCUCUACCACUUACACUUCUGCCCUUCACCCAUCAAGCCUAGAAGCUAGCCACACCCUUUGACUUCCCUCUGCCCCUUUAAGGGAAAUGGAGAUGUGGAAAUGGAGACUGAGAGGGGAAAUCAGUUCCUGGAUUUGGAGAGUUCCUGGGACCACAAGGAAAGAGCGGUGGAGCAGAACAGCAAAGAAGGAGCAGAAGGGGGGUCAGGCUUUCGGUAGGCCCUUUCUCAACCCUUGUACAGCCCCGGUCCAACAUUAGAGGCAUAGUGGAGGGUCCAAAAGGCCCUGAAAGCAUUCAGUCUAGAUUCUAGAUGUUUCUCUAAGGAAUGAGGCUUCCAUUCCCGUAGUCCCCACCAGCCCUGCCUCAUACUCCCAAGGUUUAGGCAAGGAGAUCUACAGCCCCAGAGUCAGAGCCUGGAGUCUAGAGGCCACAAGGAAUGCUGAGUCUUUGCUGGGAAAGAAGAGUAGACUUGAAGUGAGUGGGAGGCAGAGGUAGCAGAAUCCCCUGCACUUUGGAGAAAAACAAGCUCAGUAUUAGCCCAGGGUUUAGCUUUUACUCUGAUGAGACUCCGCCUUUCCUCCUUCUCCCUCAGUAUGUCCCAUGGGUUGGUAAGGCAUCUAGAUGUCUGAACCUCCCACCUGACACCUCGAAGGUUGUUAUAGCCCCUCUUUAGCUCCCAAAGCCAUGGGCGAGGGGAAGGAAGGUGCCUCAGAGGUGGCAGUGCUAUGAUGUCCAUCAGCACCCAGGGAGAGAGGCCAAGGGGAAUAAACAGUAACCAGAGAGGGAGCUAGGAGGAGAUGCCUGGUCUUGAAACAGCCUCCUUAUCCUAUCCUCUCCUGCACCCUCUCUCACAUGCUGACGAGGCUGUGUGCCCAAGUGUGCCAGCUCUUCUGGUUGGUGGUUCUGCUCUGCCAUGCAGGCAGCCGGCUCUCUGCUCUGGCACAGAACACAUGCUGGGGUCUCUCACACUUCUUUGCUCACUCAUUUCAAUGUGUCUGCAUUACAGAUUCCUAGGGAUGAAAGAAAAGGCUGUGGCCCUGUGAGGUGGUGGGCUUGGGGCCCUUUGGGUGCAUAUCUGCCUUGCUGCAGGGCAAGGAGGGAGAAGGCUGCUGGCAGCUCAGCUGAGCUCAAGGUUCUGGUGACUCAUAGCAAUGGGGGCAGCUUAUGAAAACAAAAGAGGGGAAGAGGCUUCAGGCUUGUUAGAGCUCUCUUUUGCCCCAAUUCUCCCCCACUCUGAGCUGUGUGGAUAAAGGUCUCUCAUAUGGAUUGUGGGUCAAGGAGAGGCCCCAGCUACGAAAGAAUAGAGGGAAAUGGGAGAGAAGAGAUCAGGGAAGGCUGAGCAUUCCCAGAAAGAGGCUUCCCAGUGAGAAAAGGAUACGAGAGGCUAGGCUAGUAGUAUACAAUUGUAUCCUUUGGGGCUGCACAAAGGGUACUGGGCAUUCACAUGUGCAGACAGACACAGCCACUCCUCCCUGGAAGGAUUGCCACAGUCUCAGUUCUCUCUUCCCUGGAAACAGACACCAUAGAUCUUCAAAGGUGCUGAUUCCUUUAUCUCUUACAGGCCAGGUGGGCAAUAUGCAUCCUCUCCAUCCUUUCUGAAUCAGGGGGAUGAUAGGAUAUUGUGUUUGAGACCACAUCAGCAGAAAGUGGCCAGAAGGUGGACCAGGGGAACCAUUCAGGCCUCUGACCACAGUCCCAGGGGCCUCCUUGUUUCAGCAAAGGGAAACAGAGAUCUUUGAUACUAGUAUCCAGAUAAUAAUACCUUCCCUCUAACCUCAGUGAAGGAUGGGCUAAGAGGAGGAGAAUUCUCUGGCAGAGCCCAUUUUCAUUUGCCUGUUUCGUUGCUGGUGGCUUUGCUCUCCAGCUGGGGUGAGGGACUCUCUGCUGGGCUGCUUCUGGAGAUCCAGAGAUGGUUUGGGUUGGAGAAAGAGACCAGCCGCUCUUUGCUCUUUGCUCUUUGCUCUUCCUGCAGAGAGUUGGGACCGUCUCUACUCCCCCAGCUCUCCCUGGCAGCAUCAGGAACCCAGGGCCUCCUGCUGGAAUACCCGUAAUAAAGCUCAGUCCUGAACUGAACCAACACAUCACCUGGCUCUGGUAUAGAAAUGGUGCUGUGAGGGGGAGCCUGGGUGCACCAGGUGGGUGUAGGCAGGUGUGGGGAGUUUAGGCCCAGGAGAGAUAUUAGAAUCACUCCUCAAUACCACAUGUUUCUCCUCUUUCUCAAACUUUCUGCUUGGCCUCCCUUUUCUUCUGUCUCCCUUCAGCUAUCUCCACUCCUGGCCAACUCAUCCCUUCCAAUCUGAGAAGAUAUGGUAAGUAGUGGCCUGUUCCCUACACUUUUCUUUCCCUUCCUCUACUCCCAACUCCCAGCCAAGAGUUACCCCAUUUGAACUCUUUGCACCAGUGAAUGCCAUCAGGGUCUGAACCCAGAAUCCCCAGCCUCUGCAACCCCCCUGACUUGAGAAUGCCACUCUGACUCUGAGACUGACUCUUUCGUGCUCAUCCUCCCCACAAGGAUAGCCAGGCCAAGACUGGUAUGUCCACUGACAGUAAGAGCCCUGACCUGAGGCAGAGGGCAGCUCUAAGGGUGCAGUGGGGCUCGGCCCUAAAUGCGUGUAUGCCUGUGCAUUGGGCACACUGGUUUAUUAGUGUUAUUUCAGCAUUGUGAUGCAGAGAGAGUAAGUGUAACAGCUGCUCCUUGCUUGCAGUGUUUAUUGUUACCUAGAGACAACCUCCUGGCUUUUUCCCAGCUCCCCCCUCCCCCCCCAGCCCAACCCCCUCCCUGCCAACAGUCCUACUCUCCCCACACUGAUGGGAAAUUUAUAGCCUGCCCAUACCAUCCUUUAACCCUCUCCUGUCCAUAGGGAAGAACAGGGCUGAAGUGGAUAGAGCCCAUGAGUAAUCUGCCUACAGACCUGGGACCUGGAAUCAGAAAGGAAGCCUCUGGGUGUCUAUGAGAGGAUACAUGGCUAAGGUCCUCCUUGGAAGUGUGAAGUUGGAUGUGUCUCUGAUGAGGUCUGAAGAAACUGAGGCCAUGCUGAGUGAGCUCUCUGUUCUGAAGGGAUGGGAAGUUCCACGAGGACAGUGACCACGUCUAUCUGUAUUCACCAAAGUGCUCCCAGUGCCCAGCACAGUGCCUAGCAUAAAGCAACUAUUUGGAAACAAGAAGAGAAGACCCAGAGGAGGAAAGAAGGAAGAUGGAAUUCCAUGAAGACACUCCUGUGCAGUAUACACUUGUGCGCACUGGGAUAUGUGCAUGCAGGUCAGGAUGCUUGCUGAAGCCCCGUGGAGCAUGUGUACACGCAGCUCACUUAUUACGCAUGCACGGAGAAGAAUUAUUCACAUAUGCAGAGCAGUCUUCCCACAUCCAGACCACUGUCCUAACCAGGUUGGUUCCUGCAAGUUGUUAGCCUGAGCCAUGUUUUUCCAUGAAUCCUAAUGCACCAAUGUUCCCCAGCUCCUGGCAGCUACCUUGAGUCAGCCAUGAUGGUGAUGAAGCACCACAGCAACUCUGCCAGCGUAGGGGUUAGGGAUACCUGUGCUCAUCCUGUGCACCUGUCUUGAUUACAGUGUGGUGCCUUCUCUGGUGGUCAUCAUAUGACAAGCCUAUACAUCUCACUUGGGAGAGGCGCUGGGCAUAGCUUUGAUUUCAGAGGAAAGAGGAGGCUAAUGAGAGGUGAGAGAGGCAGAAUCUAUGCCUCUCUGUGGCCCCCUUUCCUCCUUACCUGUUCUCAUGAGACAGGUGGCCCCUCAUUAUCAGAAAACAUUUACUGAGUGCCUACCCUCAAGGAGACACUGCUCAGUUGAGCACAGCGCCUCACAUUUUUUCUGAGCUAGGUUGAUGACAGCCAUUAAGAAUCUGGAUGUGCUGUCCCCAUUGGAGGAUCCACAGGAACUCUCAUGGUAACCUCAGCCUUUUCCAUGUUAGACUGCCAGGCCAAGGGAUGCUUCCUGACCUUCCCCAGGAAUCCUCCUUCCUCAAAGAAGCCAGCUUCUUCACGGACUGGUGUGGCUGCCAGCCAAGAGGCUUGGGGCAGGCCUGGGGCAUGCAGCUGGCACCUGCCCACCAGAUCCCCAAGGAGUACUCUCCCCCCCUCCAACUCCAUAGCCCCAUUCAGAUAGCCCCUGGACUAUAAGGAGACAGAGCUCACUGUUUCCCAUUCCCAGAGAAAACUUCAAGCUGGAACACCCCUCACCUCCCUUUCCACCAUAACCUGCUCCAAGAUCCUCCACUCAGACUAAAGACCCACCAGGUACUUUUUCCAGACAGGACCAAAUACUUAAUACAGAAGGGGUUGUGCAGGAGCUGAGUAAGGGGCCUUUGGGGGAGAGGCUUGGGCUGGAAUUAUGGGAGAAGUUGCUGAGGUCAACAGAUGGAUGAGGAAGAAGAACUCCAUGAGAAGGACAUAGGACGGGGGGACACAAAGGGAGAAGGCUAAGUGAAUCUGCUUCUCUCAUCUAAUUAGCAACAUGCAAAUAAUAUGCAAAUAACUCCCUUUGUUUAGA
This is an RNA transcript of Felis catus (domestic cat), 9752 nucleotides long. It is a transcript of the gene named cyclin dependent kinase 12, with no coding region annotated. The transcript has 23 exons. The record is from RefSeq and is a predicted model, not a curated record. Lineage: Eukaryota; Metazoa; Chordata; Mammalia; Carnivora; Felidae.